ACUUGCUUCAGCAGCACAUAUAUAUACUAAAAUUGGAAUGAUACAGAGAUUAGCAUGGCCCCUGUGCAAGGAUGACGCCAAAUUUGUGAAGUGUUCCAUAUUUUG
Small nuclear RNA from Vombatus ursinus (common wombat), 105 nucleotides. The record is from Ensembl. Lineage: Eukaryota; Metazoa; Chordata; Mammalia; Diprotodontia; Vombatidae.